CCUACGGGAGGCUGCAGUGAGGAAUAUUGGUCAAUGGGCGCGAGCCUGAACCAGCCAAGUAGCGUGAAGGAUGACUGCCCUACGGGUUGUAAACUUCUUUUAUAAAGGAAUAAAGUGAGGCACGUGUGCCAUUUUGUAUGUACUUUAUGAAUAAGGAUCGGCUAACUCCGUGCCAGCAGCGGCGGUAAGACGGAGGAUCCGAGCGUUAUCCGGAUUUAUUGGGUUUAAAGGGUGUGUGGCUGGGUUGUUAGGUCAGUUGUGAAAGUUUGCGGCUCAACCGUAAAAUUGCAAUUGAUACUGGCAGCCUUGAGUACAGUUGAGGUAGGCGGAAUUCGUGGUGUAGCGGUGAAAUGCUUAGAUAUCACGAAGAACUCCGAUUGCGAAGGCAGCUUACUAAACUGCCACUGACAUUGAUGCUCGAAAGUGUGGGUAUCAAACAGGAUUAGAUACCCCUGUAGUC
Molecule: ribosomal RNA, 460 nt
Filed under: uncultured bacterium
Lineage: Bacteria
Description: partial 16S ribosomal RNA
Rfam family: Bacterial small subunit ribosomal RNA
Source: RNAcentral